This is a non-coding RNA of Drosophila virilis, 3676 nucleotides long. Lineage: Eukaryota; Metazoa; Arthropoda; Insecta; Diptera; Drosophilidae. The record is from RefSeq and is a predicted model, not a curated record.
UCUUAAAGCGUAUUUAUGAAUUAUGUAUUCUCCUCAAGAGCUUGAUCUUUACAAUCCUCAAUCCUAUUAUUAAGCAUACAAUAGAUAGUCUUCAAAUCAAGAAAAAAUUGCAAAGCAGUCCCUUGCGUCAAUUUUUCUACGUAGCGAUGAUGGACUUGGCGAACUACGUCCUGUCACUGAUCUUUCGGCUCUCGAUGCUUCACGUUCAGCUGUCACUCUUAUCAGUCAGACAUGCCAAAAUGGAUAAGCACUAAUGUUCUUGUGAUCAAUAUUCUUGAUUUUUACCAACCGACAAGCCGAGUGUCUGUCUUAGUUUCUAUGUAAACUUUUUUCAAUUUCAUGCUUAUUGAAUUUUUGCAUCAGCUUACCUAUUACAGGUAUGUAUAUGCCAUAGAAAUAAUAGGUCGAAAAUUAAAUUUUGAGUGAGCGACUUUUGUUUUUCCCUCGAUGUUCUUAACAAACUUGGCAUUUACUUGUUACAACAUGCUUCUUGCAUGUCUUUCUUAACUUCGAAAAUUUUUUCCCAUAGAAACGAUAGCUCGUAGAUAAAAUACGAGUAUGAUAAACUAGCUUGGAUCUUCAAAAUAUCUUGACCGAUUUGAAUUUAAAGGUCUCACCAUGCUUCAUAUAUAUAUGUAAAACAGCAAUCUUAUAAACAUGGUUAAAAAUUAAUUUUUGCAUUGAAGAAAGUAAUGCCUUAAGACUUCACCAAAUUGUAUUUUCUAAACUAUCUAAAUUAACUAUAAAACAUUUGUAUAAAAGCGGUUCUGCUAUAUAAAAGUAUAAAGUAUAAGUACACAUUUAUAUACUAUAUUUUACUUUUGGAUACAUACAAACGGUUGCCCAAAAAGAUACGUGUGUAUGUGUACCUUUUUGUUCAUGUUAUGCACAUAAAGAAAAAAUUUACAAAUGAACUUAGAGUAUUUCCUAGUCUGUUGUAUUUAUUUUGUAUUUAUUAUACACCGCACCCAUUGAAAUUGUAUAAAUUAUGUUGUGUGCAAAUAUUUUGAACAGGCAGCGGGUAACAGAUCCGACCCUACAAACUUUUUAAUUAUGAGAAUAUUAUAUAUUUAGGACGAAGCGAUAAAGUUCUGCUUUCUUAUUCAAAUUAAAUCAAAAUCAAUUAAGUUCAAAAAUAUUCUAAAAGCGCAGCUAGCCCUUUCACUUGUAUUAGUCUAACCGAAUUAUAUUUCGGACAACCAGCGCGCGCAUGGGGAGCUCUGAGAACAAUGCUAAUGCUAGGCUAAGACAAUGCGGUUAUUUGUUUUCAUUCGUCAAGAUUGAACAUCCUUUGAUAGUGGACGAAGAUGUUAACAACCCCCUCGCUACAAUGAAAGCCGUGCUUUAUAUUUACGGAAGUCAAUUACAAUCCGUAGGAAAAGUCUGUCAUGAAUUUUAACUAUAUUUUAAUUAUCUUCAAUUGCCGAUAUGGACCUCCUUCCCCUACUGGAACUGCUUCAUACAUGGACUUUAGUUUAUUAUCUAGAAUUUAAUUUGUAUUCCAAUGUGUUACAUCCUUGAAAAGUUCUGUUACGUCCUAUCAUGUUUUGUCUUUAAAUCUUUAUUUUAUCCCUUUAUUUGUUUUGAAUUCGAGUGUGAACAUGUGUAUAACGUCAACUGGUCCUUUACUUAUGACGUUUCAGUUCGCUAAUACUUCGUUUACGAGGCGUUUUAUUUUUGGCGAAAAGAGUCUUUAAUUUGCCCUCUACGACAACCACCAACUCUUCCACGAAGACAUUUGACAGGCGAUGUUGCCACGUGGUCCGCGCUUGGAGUCCGAGAACACACUCCUUUGAACAUCACCAGAACUAUUGCUCGAGCGAUGAAAAAGUUCGCCAUCGAUUCAAGAAGGACCCUGCUAGUCCGGGUCGCCUUUGCCGCCAGAUCCCUUAAUAGGCCUUCCACCAAUAGGUGGCCUGGCAUUAAAGCCUCGCCGACGCUUGGAAUAAGUGCUUUCCAGUCUUCACACCUGCCUCCCCACAAAGUGCGGAGCUAUUGGCGGUGUGGACGCAUUCGCUUUUUGAUGAGAAAUGGCGAGUUGUGCGUUCGCCGUUUUUUUCGAUUCGAAUUCUUAACUCCCGAAACUAGAAACAUGAUCUAACAACGUUCCUUGCAUUGUCGCAAUGGACUGUCUGUGGGACUCAACGGCCGACGAACCUUUGAAAUGUCUUUAAAAACGUAUUAGUGGAUAAGUCAGAUACAAGUUCCAAGUGAACCGCCUUGGAGGCGAAGCAAAGGUUUUCAAGUUGUAAUGGUCGAUUUUUACAUUUUUCAAUAAAGCGAAACCCAUAAACAAAAACUCUCAGCAGCCUAUCGAAGAAAAACUAUCGAUCCUUUCCAAUAUAUCUGGUCGGUGUAGCAUAGCUGCUGGUCCCACAGUAUAUAUUUGCGUGUAUCUAAGGUACGCAUCUCAUCUGGUAUCAGAUAUUUACUAGCCAGGAUUUUCGUGGGUCCUUAAAAAAUAAAGGCCAUUAAACCAAAUCGGUGCAGAAGAAUAUAAUCAACAUCGCAGGUUCUAGAAACGAUAUCUGCUGGGCUUUGCUUUAUAGGUACAUGGCGCCAUUCAGCUUUCUUGAUUUCAGCCACUCAAUUCUACUCAAAUAUCUUAGAUUCAUAUGUCAACAACAACUAUAGCUGCGUACAUAUAGACUCAUCCAGGUCUUACUUGUGAAGUCAGAGCUUUUGGAGUCAAAUAGCUGCAAUCUCACCGAGAUAAUAUUCCGUUUUGUCGCUCUGGGGCCCAUGAAUAAAUCGUCUAUCCUCAUUUGGAAAGCAUCUUCAUUUGAUAACCACAACACGGCAAGUGUUUUAGUUGUGUCAGACUCUUAGAAUUUUAUCGGCUAGCAUUCAGGAAAAUUCGAAAACCAUUUGGUUAGUUCAAACUCGAUAACGUCUGCAGCUUCAGGGUGUGAUGGCUCGCUCGUAUCACUAACACUAACACCGUACUGGCAAAGCAGGCGCAGUACCGUCCGUUGUAGUGUUUAGCCUGAAGGAUUUCAUAGAGACAGAUGGGAAAUUUUAGUCUACUUCAUACACCAUAACCUGCCCAUACAUCUUUUUGAUGUCAGCUCUCAUCGCAUAUUUGUAGUCUAUAUUAAAGUCAAUGUCCCACAUGACGCGUCGAAAACAACGCAUAACUUCGUCUAUGUGCUUUGUGGUUUUAAAACGCACUGAUGCGGAAUAACCUAGUGUGUCAUGCGACAAAAAAGACGUAUAUCUCGAAGGAGUUACCAAGCUGAUUGGGAUGUUGUUUAAAUAGUUGUCUUUCUUUGAACAGCAAUAUUUCUAAAUUAUUUAGAAAGUCGCACAUUAUUGCGCUUCAACCGUUCAAGCUGUUUUCGGUGACUAAAACUUUUGUCAUGAUUUGAAGGUAUGCGUGAGCUAAUUUUUCUGCACCGAUCAGCUUUUCCCAUUGCAGAUAGUUUUUGACUUUGUGUUCAACGGGAUAGCGCCGGUGUCGACAUAAAAAAAAGGGCAAUUAAAUAAUUUAAUAAAACCAAAUAAAGAAUACUGAAAGUAUUUCGCCACAAAUAUUUACGCUGAGUGUUCCAGACUGGCCGACAGUAUUAUUCACAUCCAAGGAGCACGCAAGCCUGCCCUAUUCCCUGCCAAGCAAAUAAUCUUAAAUAUUUAAUAUAAACAUGAAUAAUGAAGAAUGUGCGGGUACGCCUAAAAA